UACGUAGGGUGCGAGCGUUGUCCGGAAUUAUUGGGCGUAAAGAGCUUGUAGGCGGUUUGUCGCGUCUGCUGUGAAAAUCCGGGGCUCAACCCCGGACUUGCAGUGGGUACGGGCAGGCUAGAGUGUGGUAGGGGAGACUGGAAUUCCUGGUGUAGCGGUGAAAUGCGCAGAUAUCAGGAGGAACACCGAUGGCGAAGGCAGGUCUCUGGGCCACUACUGACGCUGAGACGCGAAAGCGUGGGGAGCGAACAGG
Molecule: ribosomal RNA, 253 nt
Filed under: uncultured bacterium
Lineage: Bacteria
Description: partial 16S ribosomal RNA
Rfam family: Bacterial small subunit ribosomal RNA
Source: RNAcentral